GCAACACCAACACUAAGAUUUAAAAACUUAAUAAUGUAUUUCCGUUUCCUGCUGGCUCUCUUCUGAUAUAUUGUACAAACUAUACGUGUGUGUGUGAAAUUAAUAAACAGUGCUAAUUAUAUAAAAUACGUGUUUUCAAAUAAGUACAACCACAAACUAUCAUCAGGACCUUAACUCAAAUCCAGCCGUCAGUCUACAUUUAUCGAUUUAUCCAUGGUCCUUCGAACAAAAGUUGAGGACUGAAAAGGUUGCAGCAGCCCCAGUCGCCAUCACCUGAAGCUACGCUUAAUUAAGGCGUUAAUUCAUCCAUAUAUCGAUGGAAGUGCUUGGAGGAAGAAAACAACGUGACGUAUAAAAACUGUGCAACACCACACCUACAAUAGUGCCAUACAUUCUCGUUGUCUACAAUAGGUGGCCACAUUUUCUCUGGUUACCCACAGCGAGACAUUACAAUUUGCCGCCCUUUUUCUUGUGCUGGCGCGCCAACGUAAAUCAGAUUCCGAUAUUCAACAUACGAUCGAACAUUAAGAAACAAAUGCAACUAGUCUAUGGUCAACUCAGCGAGCCAAUCCGGUGCGAGAACUCCGUUUCCUGACGUCGCGGUCGAGCCGAACGAAGCCGAAGCAACCCCGGACGCAGCCGAAUGACGUAUUUUUUUUCGAGUAAUUUCAACUUCAACUCAACAAGUCAACAACGCCGCCAUUACUGUUUCUUUGCUUCAUUUCGAUGUGUAUGUAACGCCGGUCUGAUUUAAAAGUGUAUUUCUGAUUAUACAGUUACAUAAUAUUACAAUUUUGUGUUGUCUACAUCAAGUAACUAAUAACUGAUUACUGCAUCGUGACUGUUGUGUCCCCAUUAUUGUAAAUCAAAGCUAAGCGUCACCGUCACCAUAAUGGACAACGAAGAAAGGCGUGCCUCAGCUCUCGAGAACUCCGAGCAGCCUCAUUUAGAGAGGACAAAGAUGACAUGUGGCAUCGGGGUAGCAGCCAGCGAGGAGCCACCAGAUUCCAGCAAGCCUUCCAGCAAGUCUCCAGCGGCAUGCCAGAUAUGUGCUCCUGCCCCUUGAGUCCACGAGCUCCGCUACAGUUUCACCACACAAUGCACACCAUGGGAGUCUGCCGGCACCAACUAUAGUUAACACCAAAUUUGGACACAUCAUAGCUGGCAACACAUAUAACCAUUCAUACUCUCUGCCCUUGGAAAAGCACUGCCUGUUCUGUAAAACCUGUGAUUCAGACAUCACUGAAACUAUUUCAAACUUCUGGCAAGCUGAAAGCGUCCCUGAAGUCUUCACUGAAAAGCUUUCUGAACACAACACUUGUGAGCAAAUAUUCAAGGAGAAUGUAAAACUUGAGAAUAACCGCUUUGAAGUUGCCUUGCCAUUAAAACUGCCACUUGAAUCUGUAAAUGAAACGUUGGGUGACUCACUUCACUUUGCUUUAAAAAGGUUUCAUAACCUAGAAAAAAGGUUACAAAAGGAUAGUCAACUAAACGAUCUGUACAAAAAGUUCAUUGCUGAAUACUUGGCACUUGAU
Molecule: long non-coding RNA, 1535 nt
Organism: Plutella xylostella (diamondback moth)
Lineage: Eukaryota; Metazoa; Arthropoda; Insecta; Lepidoptera; Plutellidae
Source: RefSeq, a predicted model, not a curated record